AUUUAAGUAGUUUAAUUAAAACAUUGAUUUGUGGUAUCAAAAAUAUAUCAUGUUUAUCUUAAAUU
Molecule: transfer RNA, 65 nt
Filed under: Aphthona sp. EMHAU-15071309
Lineage: Eukaryota; Metazoa; Arthropoda; Insecta; Coleoptera; Chrysomelidae
Description: tRNA-His
Source: RNAcentral